This 1529-nucleotide unclassified non-coding RNA is filed under the name uncultured fungus. RNAcentral's name for it is "sequence contains 18S rRNA gene, ITS1, 5.8S rRNA gene, ITS2, 28S rRNA gene". The stretch from base 585 to 1529 matches the Rfam family "Eukaryotic large subunit ribosomal RNA", at positions 1 to 961 of the family's 3401-position model. The record is from RNAcentral. Lineage: Eukaryota; Fungi.
GGAAGGAUCAUUACAAAGUAUCCGGCUCCGGCCGCCAACCACUGCUUGCGGCGGCUUAACCGCCGUCGUGAGACAGUUUACCCCUUGUGAAAACCUUUGUUGCUUCGGCAGCGCCUCCCCGUCCGCGGGGGGGGUUAGCCUGCCGGCGGCACCAUGGAAACUCAUUUUGAAAAUUUGUAUCACAACGUCUGACAGCGCAGUCGAAUGACGCAUAAAACUUUCAACAACGGAUCUCUUGGUUCCCGCAUCGAUGAAGAACGCAGCGAAACGCGAUAGUUAAUGUGAAUUGCAGAAUUCAGUGAAUCAUCGAGUCUUUGAACGCACAUUGCGCCUUUUGGUAUUCCGAGAGGCACGUCUGUUUGAGCGUCAGCGAAACCCUUCCGGUCCCCGGUUUUUGUGCCGGGAACGCGGGCAUGCUGGCGUAGGGGUUGCGGCCGCCGCGCUUCGGUGCGAACGGGCCCUCCCCCGCUUAAACGUGGAAGCUUGCGGGCGCUGACCCGGAUUGCGACGACUCGUAAGUCUUACCGUCGAACGCGUCCGUCCAGCCCCGCCCACAAACGAAGGGGACCUGUUCCCCUGAAUCUUGACCUCAAAUCAGACGAGGAUACCCGCUGAACUUAAGCAUAUCAAUAAGCGGAGGAAAAGAAACCAACAGGGAUUGCCUCAGUAGCGGCGAGUGAAGCGGCAAGAGCUCAGAUUUGAAAUCCGGCACGGUUCCCGCGCCCGAGUUGUAAUCUGGAGAGGAUGAUCCGGCGAGGUCGGCCGCCCAAGUUCCUUGGAACAGGACGUCUCAGAGGGUGAGAACCCCGUAUCCGGCGGCCCGGUCGAGCCAUGUGGAUCUCCUUCGACGAGUCGAGUUGUUUGGGAAUGCAGCUCAAACUGGGUGGUAAAUUCCAUCUAAAGCUAAAUAUUGGCGGGAGACCGAUAGCGCACAAGUAGAGUGAUCGAAAGAUGAAAAGCACUUUGAAAAGAGAGUUAAAAAGUACGUGAAAUUGUUGAAAGGGAAGCGCUUGCCAUCAGAACAGGCGUCGGUCGAUCAGCGUUCCUUCUGGUUCGUGCACUCGGCCGGCUGCCUUGCCAGCAUCGGUUGCCGCGGCGGGACAAAGACGGCGGGAAAGUGGCUCCCUUCGGGGAGUGUUACAGCCCGCCGUGCCAUGCCGCCAGCGACGACCGAGGACCGCGCUUUUGCAAGGAUGCUGGCCUAAUGGUUGUAAGCGACCCGUCUUGAAACACGGACCAAGGAGUCUAACAUCUACGCGAGUGUUCGGGUGUCAAACCCGCGCGCGGAAUGAAAGUGAACGGAGGUGAGAGCCUUUACCGGUGCAUCAUCGACCGAUCCUGAUGUCUUCGGAUGGAUUUGAGUAGGAGCGUAGCUGUUGGGACCCGAAAGAUGGUGAACUAUGCCUGAAUAGGGUGAAGCCAGAGGAAACUCUGGUGGAGGCUCGCAGCGGUUCUGACGUGCAAAUCGAUCGUCAAAUUUGGGUAUAGGGGCGAAAGACUAAUCGAACCAUCUAGUAGCUGGUUCCUGC